UACGUAGGGGGGCAAGCGUUGUCCGGAUUUAUUGGGCGUAAAGAGCGUGUAGGCGGCUUUACAGGUCCGUUGUGAAAACUCGAGGCUCAACCUCGAGACGCCGGUGGAAACCGUAAAGCUAGAGUCCGGAAGAGGAGAGUGGAAUUCCUGGUGUAGCGGUGAAAUGCGCAGAUAUCAGGAAGAACACCCGUGGCGAAGGCGGCUCUCUGGGACGGUACUGACGCUGAGACGCGAAAGCGUGGGGAGCGAACAGG
Molecule: ribosomal RNA, 254 nt
Filed under: uncultured bacterium
Lineage: Bacteria
Description: partial 16S ribosomal RNA
Rfam family: Bacterial small subunit ribosomal RNA
Source: RNAcentral